GACGAACGCUGGCGGCGUGCUUAACACAUGCAAGUCGAACGGAAAGGCCCUGCUUUUGUGGGGAGCUCGAGUGGCGAACGGGUGAGUAACACGUGAGUAACCUGCCCUUGACUUUGGGAGAACUUCAGGAAACUGGGGCUAAUACCGGAUAGGAGCUCCUGCUGCAUGGUGGGCGUUGGAAAGUUUCGGCCGUUGGGGAUGGACUCGCGGCUUAUCAGCUUGUUGGUGGGGUAGUGGCUGACCAAGGCUUUGACGGGUAGCCGGCCUGAGAGGGUGACCGGCCACAUUGGUACUGAGAUACGGCGCAGACUGCUACGGGAGGCAGCAGUGGAGAAUAUUGCACAAUGGGCGGAAGCCUGAUACAAAAACGCCGCGUGCGGGAUGAAGUCCUUCGGGUUGUAAACCGCUUUCGCCUGUGACGAAGCGUGAGUGACGGUAAUGGGUAAAGAAGCACCGGCUAACUACGUG
Molecule: ribosomal RNA, 468 nt
Filed under: uncultured bacterium
Lineage: Bacteria
Description: partial 16S ribosomal RNA
Rfam family: Bacterial small subunit ribosomal RNA
Source: RNAcentral